AAUCCAUAGGUUAAUGAGGCGAACCGGGGGAACUGAAACAUCUAAGUACCCCGAGGAAAAGAAAUCAACCGAGAUUCCCCCAGUAGCGGCGAGCGAACGGGGAGGAGCCCAGAGCCUGAAUCAGCAUGUGUGUUAGUGGAAGCGUCUGGAAAGGCGCGCGAUACAGGGUGACAGCCCCGUACACAAAAGCGCAUGUGCUGUGAGCUCGAUGAGUAGGGCGGGACACGUGGUAUCCUGUCUGAAUAUGGGGGGACCAUCCUCCAAGGCUAAAUACUCCUGACUGACCGAUAGUGAACCAGUACCGUGAGGGAAAGGCGAAAAGAACCCCGGCGAGGGGAGUGAAAAAGAACCUGAAACCGUGUACGUACAAGCAGUGGGAGCACAGGUUUACCUGUGUGACUGCGUACCUUUUGUAUAAUGGGUCAGCGACUUAUAUUCUGUAGCAAGGUUAACCGAAUAGGGGAGCCGGAGGGAAACCGAGUCUUAAUUGGGCGUUAAGUUGCA
This 504-nucleotide ribosomal RNA is filed under the name Salmonella enterica subsp. enterica serovar Derby. RNAcentral's name for it is "partial 23S ribosomal RNA". It matches the Rfam family "Bacterial large subunit ribosomal RNA", at positions 161 to 704 of the family's 2925-position model. The record is from RNAcentral. Lineage: Bacteria; Pseudomonadati; Pseudomonadota; Gammaproteobacteria; Enterobacterales; Enterobacteriaceae.